AGCAGCCGCGGUAAUUCCAGCUCCAAUAGCGUAUAUUAAAGUUGUUGCAGUUAAAAAGCUCGUAGUUGAAUUUCGGGAUCAGUGGGUCGGUCGUGCCAAUGGUAUGUACUGGCCCUACUGAUUCCUCCUUCUUGAAGAACUGUAAUGCCAUUAAUUUGGUGUUGCAGGGAAACAGGACUGUUACUUUGAAAAAAUUAGAGUGUUUAAAGCAGGCAAUCGCUUGAAUACAUUAGCAUGGAAUAAUGAAAUAGGACGUUCGAUCCUAUUUUGUUGGUUUCUAGGAUUGACGUAAUGAUUAAUAGGGAUAGUUGGGGGCAUUAGUAUCCAAUUGUCAGAGGUGAAAUUCUUGGAUUUAUUGAAGACUAACUACUGCGAAAGCAUUUGCCAAGGAUGUUUUCAUUAAUCAAGAACGAAAGUUAGGGGAUCGAAGACGAUCAGAUACCGUCGUAGUCUUAACCAUAAACUAUGCCGACUAGGGAUCGGAUGAUGUUAAUUUUAUAAUGACUCU
Molecule: ribosomal RNA, 508 nt
Filed under: uncultured Glomus
Lineage: Eukaryota; Fungi; Glomeromycota; Glomeromycetes; Glomerales; Glomeraceae
Description: SSU rRNA
Rfam family: Eukaryotic small subunit ribosomal RNA
Source: RNAcentral